AUACGGAAGGUGCGAGCGUUAUCCGGAUUCAUUGGGUUUAAAGGGAGCGUAGGCGGAGCGCCAAGUCAGCUGUGAAAUCCCGCGGCUCAACCGUGGAACUGCAGUUGAAACUGGCGCCCUUGAGUGCACAUGAGGAUGGCGGAAUUCGUGGUGUAGCGGUGAAAUGCUUAGAUAUCACGAAGAACCCCGGUUGCGAAGGCAGCUGGCUGGGGUGCCACGGACGCUGAGGCUCGAAAGUGCUGGUAUCAAACAGGAUUAGAUACCCUGGUAGUCCGCACAGUAAACGAUGGACACUCGUGGUCGGCGACACACUGCCGGUCACCAAGCGAAAGCGAUAAGUGUCCCACCUGGGGAGUACGCCGGCAACGGUGAAACUCAAAUGAAUUGACGGGG
This 393-nucleotide ribosomal RNA is filed under the name uncultured bacterium. RNAcentral describes it as "partial 16S ribosomal RNA". It matches the Rfam family "Bacterial small subunit ribosomal RNA", at positions 523 to 918 of the family's 1533-position model. The record is from RNAcentral.